This 71-nucleotide transfer RNA is filed under the name Nelusetta ayraudi (Chinaman-leatherjacket). RNAcentral describes it as "tRNA-Gln". It matches the Rfam family "tRNA". Rfam says of the family: Transfer RNA (tRNA) molecules are approximately 80 nucleotides in length. Their secondary structure includes four short double-helical elements and three loops (D, anti-codon, and T loops). RNAcentral also lists the same sequence under 3 other names. The record is from RNAcentral. Lineage: Eukaryota; Metazoa; Chordata; Actinopteri; Tetraodontiformes; Monacanthidae.
UAGUAAGUGGUGUAGUGGAAGCACAGAGAGUUUUGAUCUCUCCAGGUAGGGUUCGAACCCCUUCUUUCUAA